CAGUAGCCGCGGGAAUACGUAGGUGGCAAGCGUUGUCCGGAAUUAUUGGGCGUAAAGGGCUCGCAGGCGGUUUCUUAAGUCUGAUGUGAAAGCCCCCGGCUCAACCGGGGAGGGUCAUUGGAAACUGGGAAACUUGAGUGCAGAAGAGGAGAGUGGAAUUCCACGUGUAGCGGUGAAAUGCGUAGAGAUGUGGAGGAACACCAGUGGCGAAGGCGACUCUCUGGUCUGUAACUGACGCUGAGGAGCGAAAGCGUGGGGAGCAAACAGGAUUAGAUACCCCAGUAGUCCCUGUCUCUUAUAC
This 301-nucleotide ribosomal RNA is filed under the name uncultured bacterium. RNAcentral's name for it is "partial 16S ribosomal RNA". It matches the Rfam family "Bacterial small subunit ribosomal RNA", at positions 509 to 807 of the family's 1533-position model. The record is from RNAcentral.